Molecule: ribosomal RNA, 252 nt
Filed under: uncultured bacterium
Lineage: Bacteria
Description: partial 16S ribosomal RNA
Rfam family: Bacterial small subunit ribosomal RNA
Source: RNAcentral
UACGGAGGAUGCGAGCGUUAUCCGGAUUUAUUGGGUUUAAAGGGUGCGUAGGCGGGAUGUUAAGUCAGCGGUAAAAUUGAGGGGCUCAACCCCUUCGAGCCGUUGAAACUGGCAUUCUUGAGUGAAUGAGAAGUAUGCGGAAUGCGUGGUGUAGCGGUGAAAUGCAUAGAUAUCACGCAGAACUCCGAUUGCGAAGGCAGCAUACCGGCAUUCAACUGACGCUGAAGCACGAAAGCGUGGGGAUCAAACAGG